RNAcentral lists this ribosomal RNA (535 nucleotides) under Branchinecta sandiegonensis. Its description in RNAcentral is "partial large subunit ribosomal RNA". It matches the Rfam family "Bacterial large subunit ribosomal RNA", at positions 1797 to 2619 of the family's 2925-position model. The record is from RNAcentral. Lineage: Eukaryota; Metazoa; Arthropoda; Branchiopoda; Anostraca; Branchinectidae.
CGCCUGUUUAUCAAAAACAUGGCCUUGUAUAUAUGUAAGGUCUGGCCUGCCCACUGAUUAUUUGAAGGGCCGUGGUAUUUUAACCAUGCGAAGGUAGCAUAAUCAUUUGCCUUUUAAUUGAGGGCUGGAAUGAAGGGUCGUUCGAGGGAUUAACUGUCUCUAACCUUUAUUUGAAAUUAAUCUUUUAGUGAAAAAGCUAAACUAUACUUGAAGGACGAUAAGACCCUAUAGAUCUUUAUAGAAACAAAAUUAGAAAUUGGUUGUAAGUUCUUUUUACCCCUUCUAUUGAGUUGGGGCGACGCUAUAUGAAGAUAUAACAUUUAGUUUAUUUAAACACUUACAUGUGAUGACAAGAUCCUGGGAUGAGAAAAGGAGAUAGUUACCUUAGGGAUAACAGCGUAAUGGUUUUUGAAAGUUCAAAUUGACAAAACCGUUUACGACCUCGAUGUUGGUUCAGGGAUCCUAUUUAGCGCAGUAGCUUUAUAAGGGAGUCUGUUCGACUUUUAAAUCCCUACAUGAUCUGAGUUCAAACCGG